RNAcentral lists this ribosomal RNA (254 nucleotides) under uncultured bacterium. RNAcentral describes it as "partial 16S ribosomal RNA". It matches the Rfam family "Bacterial small subunit ribosomal RNA", at positions 524 to 776 of the family's 1533-position model. The record is from RNAcentral.
UACGUAGGGGGCGAGCGUUGUCCGGAUUUAUUGGGCGUAAAACGCUUGUAGGUGGCUACGUCAAGUCGGACGUGAAAUCUCCCGGCUUAACUGGGAGGGGUCGCUCGAUACUGGCGAGCUCGAGGCAGGUAGGGGGAAGCGGAAUUCCCGGUGUAGUGGUGGAAUGCGUAGAGAUCCGGAGGAACACCAGCGGCGAAGGCGGCAUCCUGGACUGGUCCUGACACUCAUGAGCGAAAGCGUGGGGAGCGAUCCGG